RNAcentral lists this ribosomal RNA (484 nucleotides) under uncultured bacterium. Its description in RNAcentral is "partial 16S ribosomal RNA". It matches the Rfam family "Bacterial small subunit ribosomal RNA", at positions 30 to 507 of the family's 1533-position model. The record is from RNAcentral.
AUUGAACGCUGGCGGCAGGCCUAACACAUGCAAGUCGAGCGGAUGAAGGGAGCUUGCUCCUGGAUUCAGCGGCGGACGGGUGAGUAAUGCCUAGGAAUCUGCCUGGUAGUGGGGGAUAACGUCCGGAAACGGGCGCUAAUACCGCAUACGUCCUGAGGGAGCAAGUGGGGGAUCUUCGGACCUCACGCUAUCAGAUGAGCCUAGGUCGGAUUAGCUAGUUGGUGGGGUAAAGGCCUACCAAGGCGACGAUCCGUAACUGGUCUGAGAGGAUGAUCAGUCACACUGGAACGGAGACACGGUCCAGACUCCUACGGGAGGCAGCAGUGGGGAAUAUUGGACAAUGGGCGAAAGCCUGAUCCAGCCAUGCCGCGUGUGUGAAGAAGGUGUUCGGAUUGUAAAGCACUUUAAGUUGGGAGGAAGGGCAGUAAGUUAAUACCUUGCUGUUUUGACGUUACCAACAGAAUAAGCACCGGCUAACUUCGUG